UGCAGUCGAACGCAGUAGCAAUACUGAGUGGCAGACGGGUGAGUAACACGUGGGAAUCUGCCUUGUGGUUCAGGACAACAUUGGGAAACCGAUGCUAAUACUGGAUAAGCCCUUACGGGGAAAGUUUUAAUGCCAUAAGAUGAGCCCGCAUUUGAUUAGUUAGUUGGUGAGGUAAUGGCUCACCAAGACAAUGAUCAAUAGCUGAUCUGAGAGGAUGAUCAGCCACACUGGGACUGAGACACGGCCCAGACUCCUACGGGAGGCAGCAGUGGGGAAUCUUGCACAAUGGAGGAAACUCUGAUGCAGCGAUGCCGCGUGAGUGAAGAAGGCCUUUGGGUUGUAAAGCUCUUUUGUAGGGGAAGAUAAUGACUGUACCCUAAGAAUAAGGUCCGGCUAACUUCGUGCCAGCAGCCGCGGUAAUACGAAGGGACCUAGCGUAGUUCGGAAUUACUGGGCGUAAAGCGCGCGUAGGCCGUUGAGUUAGUUAAUUGUGAAAUCCCAAAGCUUAACUUUGGAACUGCAAUUAAAACUGCUCGACUAGAGUUUGAUAGAGGAAAGCGGAAUACAUAGUGUAGAGGUGAAAUUCGUAGAUAUUAUGUAGAACACCAGUUGCGAAGGCGGCUUUCUGGAUCAACACUGACGCUGAGGCGCGAAAGUAUGGGUAGCGAAGAGGAUUAGAUACCCUCGUAGUCCAUACCAUAAACGAUGAUUGCUAGAUGUUGGAAAUUUAUUUUCAGUAUCGCAGCUAACGCAUUAAGCAGUCCGCCUGGGGAGUACGACCGCAAGGUUAAAACUCAAAUGAAUUGACGGGGACCCGCACAAGCGGUGGAGCAUGUGGUUUAAUUCGAAGAUACGCGCAGAACCUUACCAACCCUUGACAUGUCUGUCGCGAGUUUAGGAAACUAGACUUUUCGGUUCGGCCGGACAGAACACAGGUGCUGCAUGGCUGUCGUCAGCUCGUGUCGUGAGAUGUUGGGUUAA
Molecule: ribosomal RNA, 981 nt
Filed under: uncultured Pseudomonadota bacterium
Lineage: Bacteria; Pseudomonadati; Pseudomonadota
Description: bacterial SSU rRNA
Rfam family: Bacterial small subunit ribosomal RNA
Source: RNAcentral